Crotalus tigris (Tiger rattlesnake) is the source of this 341-nucleotide long non-coding RNA. RefSeq lists it as uncharacterized. The transcript is spliced from 2 exons. Lineage: Eukaryota; Metazoa; Chordata; Lepidosauria; Squamata; Viperidae. The record is from RefSeq and is a predicted model, not a curated record.
UGUAGAAGAAGGUAGUGUCUUGGAAGGAAAAAUAUAUUUAAAUAUUAAGGAAUCUUUACUCAUCGUUUACCUGUCUCCUCUUUUUCUUUUCAUAGGGAAUGCCCAACCACAGUGUAAUCGGGAAGGCGGAUUCUGCCGUGUCAGCCGAUGUCCUCUUGGAACUUCUAACAUUGGGAACCUGGGCUGUGGGUCGCUAUUGAAGUGUUGUAAAAGGACACGUGGAAAAUAAUGCUGUCUCCCUCUACGACCAUGGAUAUCUUCAACAUAUGGCCAAGCACCUGAGAUUGCUGCCUGCUAUCGCUUUAUCUUUCUUUAUCUAAAUAAAAUUGCUACCCAUCAAA